RNAcentral lists this ribosomal RNA (433 nucleotides) under uncultured bacterium. RNAcentral describes it as "partial 16S ribosomal RNA". It matches the Rfam family "Bacterial small subunit ribosomal RNA", at positions 29 to 507 of the family's 1533-position model. The record is from RNAcentral.
AACGAACGCUGGCGGCAUGCCUAACACAUGCAAGUCGAACGAGACCUUCGGGUCUAGUGGCGCACGGGUGCGUAACGCGUGGGAACCUGCCCUUAGGUUCGGAAUAACUCUCCGAAAGGGGUGCUAAUACCGGAUAAUGUCUUCGGACCAAAGAUUUAUCGCCCUUGGAUGGGCCCGCGUUGGAUUAGCUAGUUGGUAGGGUAAAAGCCUACCAAGGCGACGAUCCAUAGCUGGUCUGAGAGAAUGAUCAGCGACACUGGGACUAGGACACGGCCCAGACUCCUACGCGAGGCAGCAGUGGGGAAUGUUGCACAAUGGGCGAAGGCCUGAUCCAGCAAGGCCGCGUGAGUGAUGAAGGCCUUAGAGUUGUAAAGCUCUUUUACCCGGGAUGAUAAUGACGGUACCGGGAGAAUAAGCUCCGGCUAACUCCGUG